UGCUGUCAAAACGAAGGCCCUGUAGGAAGUUAGCUCCCACCUCUCUCCUAGAACAAUGAAAUAUCCUGAGAAAUAUUAAAAAAGCAGAAUAUUUCCCCUAAAAAGAGUAAAGUAGAAACUCAGAGAAGCAGAAACUCACCCCCCUCCCUUUGC
This is a non-coding RNA of Pseudonaja textilis, 153 nucleotides long. The record is from RefSeq and is a predicted model, not a curated record. NCBI's taxonomy places the organism in Eukaryota, Metazoa, Chordata, Lepidosauria, Squamata, Elapidae.